AAAAGCGUGAAGAAAGUUUCAACUACUUCAAGUUGAUCUUUUCUGCACAAAAGAGAAAAACACUUCUGUCAGAUGAAAGCGACUAAACCACAACAAGUAAGACUCUCACCACCCAGAGGUGUCGAUCGCUGUCUUAGCCAAAAGACCGAGAAGCGAAGAUUGUUGUUUUAUUAUUAAUAUAUAAUUUAUCAUUCAACAUAUAUGGGAGGUGCACCGUUCCUGGAGAUAAUGCAAUACCAGGUCGAUGCGUGGAGUGGACGGAGCAAGCCCCUAUUCCAUCUCCCUGUUCCAAAAAUCAAUUUAAUAUAUGGUCCCCGGGUAGGGGACGUAUCAGAUAUUAAACUGAUAAGAACAGAUACUACACUUGAUCUUAGCCAAAAGGCCGAGAAGCGAUACCACAAAUACCUCGGAGGAGACCAGGUCAUUCUGACAGACCUCAGUCUGACUCACGGUUCUACAUUAAACAUUUUGCGACACACACAAAAACGGGGGAAAAGGUUUAAUUUAACCUUUGUUGACCAUUUGACGCGUAUGUUGUUCUACUGCAGUGAAAGUAUUUACCAUUAGAGAGAAUUCGUGUUUCUUCCUGGACACGUGAUACGUUUUUAGACCAAUAGGAAGCCGAGAAGCAAAAACUACUAAAAACACCUAUUUUUUUUAGAAACAUGUAUUUGCUUGGCAGAAGAGUUAGCGGUGUUUGUUUUUUUAGUUAAUAAACUUAAAAGUAGAAAAGUGUAAAGCCGUUGGAACAAAUAGACUGACCCGUGAGCGCCUUCUAACAGAAAAGCUAGACAGAUGUACUGAUAUCCACCAAUUGUAGUUUGAAAUUUUCCCACGAAAUCCAUGCCAACCAAUUCAAAAGGAGCUAAACCACCAAGAAAGAACUCUCAAAACCAGACUGUUAUGAUUCUGGCCCGUCUGCCUGCUCUGUCUUCAUGUAAUCGGCUAAUCUGCUUCACCUGUCUGCUGCUGCACUGGAGUGCAAUCAAUCAUGCCAUGCACCUGUUUUUCUGCAGUUAUAUUCAGCCCUCAGACAGGAAGACGGUGUCAGAUUUUCAAAAACCUACCAGUUAGUAGAUGUCCAGCAUUCCUUCCUGCCUGACCACGUUUUUGACCACUUUUUGCAUCUUGGAUUUCCCUGCCUUGCCUGACCCUCAUUGGAUGUCUCUCGCCUCUGGAUUACGACCUUGUUUCUGCCUCUCGACCAAAGCCUCCUGCCUCAACCCUGGAUUUGUCUGCCUGAGUCUGCCUCCCCUUGACUACCGAGCCUUGGAUCUUUUCCCCUGUCAGCAAUCCGAGUUCUGGCUGCGGCGUGUUCUGCACCGAUCCUCCUGGUCUGGAGACUGCCAGGACCGCACCCCGCAAAGGAGCCUAUUCUGAUCCCUUCGUCCUACACGGAUUCUGUUAAGGUGAUCACUGACGACUUAAAUCGAUGACGUCUAUGGCCUGCGCUGAACAUCAUCACCACCAUGAGACACAGUCUUCACUAUAUUUGCCAGGUCAUCAUAAAGCUCCCACACACAUGGAGCUCUUCGGCAGUAUGCAAUGUAAUGUCCCAGACCAUCUUUAGUCAAGCUUCCCUUGAAAGCGAUGACUCUUCUCAAAGAGAAUGUCUUUCCUUGGAGAGCAACAGUGGGGGGAAAUUCACUCAAAGGAAACUGAGUUGUGUUUGCAAGUGGGCGAAGGCAGGGAGACUCCGGAAGGAAGAGUCCAUUUUCCACUGAAAUGUCAAGCUGAGCCAUGCCACAGUCCAUCAGCACAGAAAUGUCAGGAGAAACAAAUGAUGGAUCUGCAUGGAGCCAUUCAGUGCAGGAAGUGAGAUAAGAAGUUCUCUUCCUUUUUUUGGGUGGAAGAAUUAGUCCCCUCCAGUUUUCAACCACGUCUUCAUCUGUUGGAGGAAUGUUUGUAGUUUCAUCGGAUUCUACAGAUUGAACAAAUCCGCAUAUUUCCUUCUAUAAAGGAAAGAUGACGAGAAAUAAAGCGAUCAACUCGAAUGGGUAAGUUCUCGUGUUUAAAAAGGCCAUGCUUUACAUUUUUGAAUUCUGCUUCAACAGUGGCUGAGCUCGCUGUGAGGUUGGUGCUUUUGAAGAGGGGGACCAUUACUCCUGUCCAAAGUGCCGCGUAGGUCAGUCUGGAUCUCGUCAAAAGAAUCCACUUGAUGCAUUUCAUUUGGAUCUUCAGCUGGAAUGAUGAUGGAGUCUUCUGUGAUCUGGGUUUUUAGAUAUUUUUUGCACAUCUCUGAUUCGAGAGGGACUCCAGAACUAUCAUCACCCUCUGCCUCACUGAGGGCCACAACAGUGAUGGCAUGUAUUAGCUGUUUUGCAUGGUCCAAGCACUGUGAUUGAAGAAGCUUUGCUAUUGCCCUGACAAAGAAAUCUUUGACACGGUGUGACUUGUU
This is a long non-coding RNA of Girardinichthys multiradiatus, 2398 nucleotides long. RefSeq lists it as uncharacterized. The transcript has 8 exons. The record is from RefSeq and is a predicted model, not a curated record. NCBI's taxonomy places the organism in Eukaryota, Metazoa, Chordata, Actinopteri, Cyprinodontiformes, Goodeidae.